CAAACUGGGAUUCAAUAAUGGACCCGCACCGAUAUCCGGAGCGCGGCAUGAACUCGAGAGCCAGCUUGUGCUCCUUGUCGAUAUCACAGCCAGCACAAACAGCUUUGGAGUCGUCGGGGAGGACAGUGGUCGUGUUCUCGAACGAGGAUCGGAUGGCAGGCAGCUAAAUCAGCAUCAGGUGCGAGAUGUACUCUUUCUUAUAUUAGAUCGCUAGUAACUUCAUUCAGAAGAUAAGAUAGUAUAAAAAGCAUGUGAGACGAGAUUCUAUAUGCGCUCAUAACAGAGUAAAAAUACGUUUCAGUCAACUCAUCUGAGAAUUAAUUAUACGGGCGGGCCCAUAGCAAAAGACACCACACGAUCUAAAUUUUUUUUUUAAUUUUAUUUUAAUCAAAAGAUAAAUAAAAAGAUAGGAAUCUUACGAUAAUACAUCAAAGCAAGUCUUUACAGAUUAAACCAACAAACACCACCCGACACAGUCUCAGUCUUGCCCAGAUCUAUCUUUGUUUAUUUCGUCAAGAAUGACGAUGAGCGAUGCAACGAAGGCGUAAUCCACGUUCGGGUACACGGUCACACCGAACGUAUCCUUUCCAAGUAACACGUUCUUCACAGUGUAUUUACGGCUCAUCUACAGAAAAAUCAAAUCAAUAUACAUCAUCAAUUAGAUGGUGAGAAUACAGAUGAUAAUUAAUUAUUAUUAUUUCUCUUACUUGGGCUACGAUGGAGUUGGAUUCCCCGAGAUAAACAGUGCAUGACCUCUCAAAGUAACUCCCCUUGAUCUUGAAAUCACACGCCUCCUCGUUGGUGUUGGAAGCCAUGAUCACAUGUAACUCGGUCUUAAAUUGCAGCAGCCUGGACUUCUUGACG
Molecule: long non-coding RNA, 864 nt
Organism: Musa acuminata AAA Group (dessert banana)
Lineage: Eukaryota; Viridiplantae; Streptophyta; Magnoliopsida; Zingiberales; Musaceae
Exons: 2
Source: RefSeq, a predicted model, not a curated record